RNAcentral lists this ribosomal RNA (496 nucleotides) under uncultured bacterium. Its description in RNAcentral is "partial 16S ribosomal RNA". It matches the Rfam family "Bacterial small subunit ribosomal RNA", at positions 28 to 507 of the family's 1533-position model. The record is from RNAcentral.
GAUGAACGCUGGCGGCGUGCCUAAUACAUGCAAGUCGAGCGAACAGACGAGGAGCUUGCUCCUCUGACGUUAGCGGCGGACGGGUGAGUAACACGUGGAUCACCUGCCUAUAAGACUGGGAUAACUUCGGGAACCGGAGCUAAUACCGGAUAAUAUAUUGAACCGCAUGGUUCAAUAGUGAAAUACGGGUUUGCUGUCACGUAUAGAUGGAUCCGCGCCGCAUUAGCUAGUUGGUAAGGUAACGGCUUACCAAGGCGACGAUGCGUAGCCGACCUGAGAGGGUGAUCGGCCACACUGGAACUGAGACACGGUCCAGACUCCUACGGGAGGCAGCAGUAGGGAAUCUUCCGCAAUGGGCGAAAGCCUGACGCAGCAACGCCGCGUGAGUGAUGAAGGUCUUCGGAUCGUAAAACUCUGUUAUUAGGGAAGAACAAAUGUGUAAGAAACUAUGCACGUCUUGACGGUACCUAAUCAGAAAGCCACGGCUAACUACGUG